Molecule: long non-coding RNA, 2596 nt
Organism: Rosa chinensis
Lineage: Eukaryota; Viridiplantae; Streptophyta; Magnoliopsida; Rosales; Rosaceae
Exons: 3
Source: RefSeq, a predicted model, not a curated record
GUCUUUUGCUCUUUUCUUCGGGUCAUCUCCUCAAAGGCUCAGAGUCUCAGACCCAUUUCCUGAAACAGCCUUUCCCCAGUUGAUUCAAUUGAAAUCUCAAAUUACCAAAAGUUCAGAUGUCUUCGUCUUCUGUUUUUGCUUAGUUUCCUUUUCGUUUCAUUCCCAAAUUUCUCUGAAUCCCAGUUUCCUUUCAACUUCGAAUCUCGUCGUUACCGGCGUCUUCAAUCUCUCGCCCAAUGAUAUCAGGGUUACAGCGUGUCUCUGAUUUAUUGCUGUCUCCACCACCUUCUUCUUCGUCAACGUCAUUCUGAUGAGCUCAGACCAAAAGACGGAGAGAGAGCUCCUCUCGUCUCUCUAAUCACCUAAUGCCUUAAUAUUUUCUUCCUCAAUUUUUCUUUCUCAGAGAAUCAAGGGUUUCUCUGAUGCUACAGAAUAUCAGAAAUUGCGAAAAUGAAGAGGAAGAGUAAAAACAGAAGAUACUGGCGAAUACUCGGCCAUGUGGUGGUCGGAGGGUAUUGGCGGCGUGGAUGGGGUUCGUCGACAACGUGCAGAAGCUUCAGCCACGCGAAAUCAGCUCCAAGCGUGACCCCGGGCUUUCAUUAUGAGCGAUGCCCAGGAGAGGUUUCGAUAUAUUUGUCUCCAAGUACAAAUAUAUAGUUGCUUUUGAUUUUAACGGAGGUGAAAAGUUGGGGCUUUUGAUGGUUUGUUACUGGGUUUGCUGGUUGGUGUUUUAUGAAGAGCUCUGGGGUUUGUGCUGGUUUGGAUUUAAGUCCGUAGUAAAAAUAAGGGGGACUUAUCUCUGUUCAAAAUAAGGGAUUUCACCUUGCUGUUUUCACUUUAUAGACUUUAAUCAACUUAUUUCAAUCUACUUCUCUAGAAGCAUUGAUGAGGUUUAAACUCAUGCAUGAUUGAAUUAAACGAAAACAUAACAUGAUAACUAAGUAGUGUUGGACAUGUCUAGAUGCAUGUAUCAAGGAAAAAGUAAAGAGGGUGUGGUCGUGUCAUCUGCUGGUGUUGUUAUAUACAAACCAAAAUGGCCCAAAGAUAAACUAAUGGAUAAAGAAUGUUGGUCUGACCUAGAAGCUAAGGUAUUAUAACAAUGCCUUAAAUUUCAGGAAAAUAUGGGCUAGGUAGUUCUCCAGACGUGAAUGUUAUUUCUCAUUUGCAUUAUAUUGAUCUUCGUUAUCAUUUUGGUUGAAUUCUUGUGUGGUGUUAAGAACAUUACAGACCAAGUUUGGCAACUAUUGUCUUGCCAAGACAAUAGCAGAAACUGAAGCUUUGGAGUAUGCAAAGAAAAGUGAUUGAAAUUCAUUACUGUUUGUCCAUCUAUUGUUUUUGGUCCUUGUGACUUUUGACAAGCGUAUGAGUUGUACUUCAUCUUUGUGUAGGUGCUGUUCUAUGUGUUUUUGGUUUUGUUGUGUAUGUCUAGCUUAGUAUUUUGGGAGAGAGAAUUACUAAGUAUAAUUGCUUAUAAACAAGGAUAGUUAAAUUGCAUGUAAAUAAAUGAAAUUCAUAUUUAAAUUUUGUUUUUGUGUUUGUUUUGAUUGUAGUCUAAUUUCUAGAUAAGGUGGCCUGAGCAUUAUCCUUGUGACUAUGAAACUUUAAUUGCCAAGACACAAAGGUGUAUUUUUUGAGUUCUGUGAGGAGAUUAUGAUUCUAGGAAGUUAGACAUCAUAAUUAUGUCAGAGAUGCAAUAUUGAUUCGAAUAGAUAAAUCUGAAAACUUAUUUUACAAUAAACUGUAAAGAAUGGUUUCAUUCUUCUUGAGCUACUCUUUCUCUAAGUUGAAUUGCCUUUGUUUAAAAGCUACUUCAUCCGUAAUUUUUCUCUCUAUCGGUGGCUCUUGCAUGAAAAGAUAGUUUCUGUUUCUUGUUGUUGUUUGCACUCUCCCCCCUUAACUUGAUUUCUUUAUGUUAAUACUUAUCCAUCCUAAUAGCCAGACCUCAAAGGUAAGGAAAAGGGGGCAUUCAUCAAGUUGUAGAACGAAGAAGGCCAAAGCACUGAGCUCUACAUUCCCAGAAAAUGUUAUACAACUUAACUAAAUUAAAAUGCUCCAGCAUUACCUGUUAUGUAAUUUUAGAGGGUUUAUCUAAACUUGUGUGGUAUGUGGAUGCAGCUCAGCAACUAUAACUUGAAAUUCAAAGAGAACUUGUCUUUGCAGCAUCCCUUAAAGCUUUGUGCAGAAUUCCGUAAAGCUUUUCUAUAACCAGUUACAAGCAUAAUUGGAUGGCAGAACAUUAAGUAGCAAUGAGUUAAAGGUUGUCAUUGGGAGACCUAGCUAGAAGGAACAUUGUUGGACAGAGACUCUGCAUUGCGUGAUUGGGAGGAUAAUGUGAAGGCUUUGUUUCUCCAUGGCUAGACAGCAGUAGAGGACAAUGAGUUAAAGAUUGUCAUUUCUAGAAGUCGAGAAUACUGGAAAGUAAAGAUGCUAAAGGAUUUGUUCAAGGAAUUUGCCAACUAUCAAUGAAGACUUCAUGAGAGGCAUGUUUUGGAACAAUAUGUAUUAGCUUUUGAUAUCCCAAGUAGAUAUGGCAUUUACUAGAAUGCUUUUCUUGUUUUGGUGUUGGCUUGGAUGAUUGGGAAAUGCUCCCUUUUAA